CUGGCUGAUCACAAGUCUAAAGCAAGAAGACUACAAAUCCAAGGCCUACUCAGGGAGUCUGAGACAGCCUUGACAAAGUGCAACUCCAGUACAGACUUGGUGCAUCCUGACAGCCAUGUAUACCUACAUACAUGAUCCAAACUGCCAACAGUAUGAGGCAUACCCAUCACCCUGAAAACCUGUAUUCCUCUUCAAUGAGAAUAUUGAGGGUGAACAUACUAUUGAGACUGUGCUUUUGAUUACUGUAAAAUGAAAUUUCAAUAUUUGUCUAACAAGCAUGGAAAAGGUGAAGAUAGUCUGUUAGGGCCAGAAGGUCUCUUAAGAAAACAACUAAUCUGAUUUUAUAAUUUCAUAACAUCUAAGUCAGCUUUCUAUAGAAUGCUCAUGUAAAAGAAGUAGUCAUGGAUAAGAGGAAUCUGUGAUGUCCUUUGAGAAGCAUGAUGGUAUGACUCCAUGGAGGGGGUAGAGAAAAUCUGACAGAGAUGGUUCUAGUUCUCGCCAUUGCUUCUUGCAAUUCCACCAUGGUAAAAGCAAAGAGAUUCUUUAUAAACAUGACAUCAAGAAAAAAAAAAAAAACAGAGGAGGGAAGAGCAAAGAGAAAAU
This is a non-coding RNA of Peromyscus maniculatus bairdii (prairie deer mouse), 603 nucleotides long. NCBI's taxonomy places the organism in Eukaryota, Metazoa, Chordata, Mammalia, Rodentia, Cricetidae. The record is from RefSeq and is a predicted model, not a curated record.